GAUGAACGCUGGCGGCGUGCCUAAUACAUGCAAGUCGAGCGAAUGGAUUAAGAGCUUGCUCUUAUGAAGUUAGCGGCGGACGGGUGAGUAACACGUGGGUAACCUGCCCAUAAGACUGGGAUAACUCCGGGAAACCGGGGCUAAUACCGGAUAACAUUUUGAACCGCAUGGUUCGAGAUUGAAAGGCGGCUUCGGCUGUCACUUAUGGAUGGACCCGCGUCGCAUUAGCUAGUUGGUGAGGUAACGGCUCACCAAGGCAACGAUGCGUAGCCGACCUGAGAGGGUGAUCGGCCACACUGGGACUGAGACACGGCACAGACUCCUACGGGAGGCCGCAGUAGGGAAUCUUCCGCAAUGGACGAAAGUCUGACGGAGCAACGCCGCGUGAGUGAUGAAGGCUUUCGGGUCGUAAAACUCUGUUGUUAGGGAAGAACAAGUGCUAGUUGAAUAAGCUGGCACCUUGACGGUACCUAACCAGAAAGCCACGGCUAACUACGUGCCAGCCGCCGCGGUAA
Molecule: ribosomal RNA, 515 nt
Filed under: uncultured bacterium
Lineage: Bacteria
Description: partial 16S ribosomal RNA
Rfam family: Bacterial small subunit ribosomal RNA
Source: RNAcentral